Molecule: ribosomal RNA, 460 nt
Filed under: uncultured bacterium
Lineage: Bacteria
Description: partial 16S ribosomal RNA
Rfam family: Bacterial small subunit ribosomal RNA
Source: RNAcentral
CCUACGGGGGGCAGCAGUGAGGAAUAUUGGUCAAUGGACGAGAGUCUGAACCAGCCAAGUAGCGUGAAGGAUGACUGCCCUAUGGGUUGUAAACUUCUUUUAUAUGGGAAUAAAAUGUUCCACGUGUGGGCUUUUGUAUGUACCAUAUGAAUAAGGAUCGGCUAACUCCGUGCCAGCAGCCGCGGUAAUACGGGGGAUCCGAACGUUAUCCGGAUUUAUUGGGUUUAAAGGGAGCGUGGGUGGAUUGUUAAGUCAGUUGUGAAAGUGUGCGGCUCAACCGUAAAAUUGCAGUUGAAACUGGCAGUCUUGAGUACAGUAGAGGUAGGCGGAAUGCGUGGUGUAGCGGUGAAAUGCUUAGAUAUCACGAAGAACUCCGAUUGCGAAGGCAGCUCACUGGACUGCAACUGACACUGAGGCUCGAAAGUGUGGGUAUCAAACAGGAUUAGAUACCCUUGUAGUC